AGACCUAUAAAUUCAUCAUUUUUCUAAUCUUAACCCUAGCUCCUCCCAUGAUACGCUGUUUUCAUCUCAGCUCUUUCCUUGUAACACUAUUCUCAUCUCAGCUUUUCCUGCUAGAAUCUCAGUGCUGCCAUUUGAAGCUCCUUUAUUGGCUCAAAACACCACCGUUUUGAAUGGAUUUGCCUUUAUCUAGAAUUGUGGCGCUGCUGUCGUCUUAGCACUUGGUGCUUAUCUUCAAGAUUUUGGUUCCUUUAUUUUUGUCUAUCAUUUUUGUUUGUUGACUAUCGAGAUUUUUUUUUUU
RNAcentral lists this unclassified non-coding RNA (298 nucleotides) under Hevea brasiliensis (rubber tree). The record is from RNAcentral. Lineage: Eukaryota; Viridiplantae; Streptophyta; Magnoliopsida; Malpighiales; Euphorbiaceae.